Molecule: ribosomal RNA, 253 nt
Filed under: uncultured bacterium
Lineage: Bacteria
Description: partial 16S ribosomal RNA
Rfam family: Bacterial small subunit ribosomal RNA
Source: RNAcentral
UACAGAGGUCUCAAGCGUUGUUCGGAUUCAUUGGGCGUAAAGGGUGCGUAGGCGGCUCGGUAAGUCGGGUGUGAAAUCUUGGAGCUUAACUCCGAAACUGCAUUCGAUACUGCCGUGCUUGAGGACUGGAGAGGAGACUGGAAUUUACGGUGUAGCGGUGAAAUGCGUAGAUAUCGUAAGGAAGACCAGUGGCGAAGGCGGGUCUCUGGACAGUUCCUGACGCUGAGGCACGAAGGCCAGGGGAGCAAACGGG